This 825-nucleotide ribosomal RNA is filed under the name Triticum aestivum (bread wheat). RNAcentral describes it as "partial small subunit ribosomal RNA". Lineage: Eukaryota; Viridiplantae; Streptophyta; Magnoliopsida; Poales; Poaceae. The record is from RNAcentral.
GCCGGCGGGUCCCGGUGCCACCACCGCCCACAGGGCGGCGCGGCGUGCGGAGAUCGCGCGUAUCCGCGCCUCUCUGCCGCGGGCGGCGAUGGAAGGUCCACGGUACGUCCCCGAGAGCCCGGUGUGGGAGCCCACUUCCGCCGCCGCCACGCCGAGCAGCUCGAGGCCACAAACGGCGUUGUGCCCUCCGGAAGGCUCAACUCCGAAGGCCGGCGCCGAUGGUGGGGCGUGCCCGGCCACACGCUGGAGGCCGUCCUCGAGUACAUCGAGGGCGGCAACACGCCGAGGCUGGAGUACCCCGCUCCCCCGUCCUUCUCUCGCCGGCGUGGGAGCUCGUGGACGCCGAGGCGCAUGGACAUGGGGGCGUCCUCCUCCUCGUCCGGCUGCUCGUCCGGCUCUCCCUGCCUCCGCCCCGUCAAGCCGGAGCCCCAGGACACGCCUGUCAGCGCGCGCACCCGCAGUUCCGGCGUCCGCAUCGAUGACUCCGCUCCCGCCUCUGGCCGCCUCGUCCUCGUCAAGCUGAAGCCGGAGCCCGGCCUCCCCGCGGAGUACGAGGAGAUAGCCCGGCGCGGCUUCUCCGACGAGGACGCCCUAAAGUGGGUGCGGGACGACUACCUCCGUGACGAGAUGGUCCAGCAGCGCCGGGCCCUGGAGGAGAUAGCCGCCCGAAAGCGUGGGCGCGAGGACGAGCACGGCAUGGUGAUCCUCGACAGUGACGAGGACGAGGACGCCCCCGGACCGUCCAACCCGCCGCACCAACCUGGGGAGGGUUGCAGCAGGGACGGCGGCUGCGGAGGAGGCGACGACGACGACAACGACGGCGGC